RNAcentral lists this non-coding RNA (29 nucleotides) under Cricetulus griseus (Chinese hamster). The record is from RNAcentral. Lineage: Eukaryota; Metazoa; Chordata; Mammalia; Rodentia; Cricetidae.
UACAUGGAUAGAAUAAAAGACCUUAGAAU